CCUGAAUAGAUAAAGAAGCAUGAAUCAGAUACCAAUCUUAUAUCUUACCCAAAAAUAUUUUCUCAUACUAAUUUUGUUGUUGUGCCGAAGAGAUAUGACUAGACCACCAAUUGUACCUCCAAAGCCAUUAAUUUCGGUGAAUCCUUGACCGAGUUUUCUGAAUCCCCAAUCAAUUUUAUCAUGUGGAAGGCUGACAAUGGGAACGCCAAAUAAAAAUUAUGAUUUGAUCCUUCGUAGCCCAUCCUAAUGAUGUCUUCCAACCUAACGCAUUACCAACCUCAAACCAACAAUGAAUCAUCAACUAAUCUCCCUUCCUUGCUAUCAUAUCCGAAGUACUAUCCUGCCAGCAGCUCCCAUACAAUCCUCAUCUGAUGUUUCUAUACCAUUACAUGAACCGCAUUAAGCUCCCUGUGCUUAAUCCAACCACCAUACCUUUAUAAAAUCUUCCCAAUCUUGAUUCUUAUCAUGAUGCUUGCAUCCUCACAUGCUUUUUGGAGUUUAUAAACUUCUUUGUUGAUUUUAUUAGGAUUCCUUGGCAAAAUUUGCUGCUCAAUUGUGUAUAAGCUCCGUAGUCAAACCAAAC
RNAcentral lists this long non-coding RNA (583 nucleotides) under Panax ginseng (ginseng). Its description in RNAcentral is "long non-coding RNA (PGIN_LNC009996)". Lineage: Eukaryota; Viridiplantae; Streptophyta; Magnoliopsida; Apiales; Araliaceae. The record is from RNAcentral.